Molecule: long non-coding RNA, 1094 nt
Organism: Tarenaya hassleriana
Lineage: Eukaryota; Viridiplantae; Streptophyta; Magnoliopsida; Brassicales; Cleomaceae
Exons: 6
Source: RefSeq, a predicted model, not a curated record
UUUCCCUGUCGCAAGAUUGAGCUUUUUCAGCUCCCAAGUAUUCUCAUGACAUUGAUCUGUAUAUACAAGCUAUAGAUCUAAACAGCAGUAAUGGUGCUUAUUGAGCAAACCGUGCGCUCGCUCACACAAAAUUAGAGGAAUAAGGGAGUGCAAUACAGGAUGCAUCAAAGGCCAUCCAAAUCAAUCCAAAAGGUUCAAUCUUGUGAUAAGAUCGUUGCUUCCUCUUCCCACAAAUUCAAGGGGGCCUAGAAGGAUUUCUAACAGGAUUGAUGUAUGACUUGCUGUGAAGUGAUCCUUGACCCCAUCCUGGAAGAGGUCCAAGCAAGCAGGGAGUUGGCCUUUCAUUUGGUGGAGAUGUAACAAAGAGAUUCUUGCAGGACAACAAUCUAGAAUUGGUGGUCCGAUCACAUGAAGUAGAAGAUGAAGGUUAUGAGAUUGAGCAUGAUGGCAAAUUGAUCACUGUCGUCUCUGCACAAAAUUAUUGUGAUCAGCAAGACGGGUAACAAGGGUGCCUUUAUUCGCUUUGAAGCUCCGGAUAUGAAGUCGCCGAACAUUGUUACAUUCUCAGCUGUGAUCUAAAGAUCCCCGGAAAGGAUGAAACAGAAAAACCCAGAUGGAGAAGACAGUGAUAUUUAAUAAUGCACGGCAGAUAAAACUGGCACAUGCUGCUGUUGUUGGAUGGUACAGCCCUUACACCUGUGAAUGUGAUGAACACACACCACAACCAAGAAGCCCCGAGACCUUAUACUAUUGCUUUCCCCCCUUUUCCUUUAGUUUUGUGAGCAGAAAAAUCUCUUUGCAGCAUAAACCCUUGCAUUACAAAGCAUCGGAUUCUUCCUUCAAUGGCUCCUCCUAUGUUCUCUCUGAGUGUUCUUGAAUCUUUUGCUGCUGCUGUUGUUGUUGUUGUCGAGUGGAAACUGCUGUUACAGGAACUUGUAUUAUGCCUUACUGUUAUGGAAUCUCCCGGCUCUUCUUUUUCCUGUGAGAUUCGCAUAUUCUUGCAGUCUUUUACAUGUGGGUUUUUUUUUUCCUGCAUAAAUUAUGUGUUUUGGUUUCAAAUUCUAAAGAUUGUAAUGGUAGUUCUUUCUGGGGCG